CACCUGUAAGUUCUAACAUGCCUCAUAGACCAGUGAAAUUGGCCAGUAGGAGGAGCAGGCAGGGGUCCAGAGGCUGGGGCCUUAGAGUUUGUGUAGCGUAACACUGCAGUUGCAGUGAGGACUUGCUUGGUAAAACGAACAAUGUAGUAAUCCUUUGGAGGCUGAUUUAAAGUUACUAAGACAGCUGCAGAUUGUCCAACAUGCACAUCAAGAGAGUCAUACAUAUUCUGGACGGUGUGAGAUCCUUCAACUUCAACCAACUUCAUUGUAUGACCCUGAAUCCUGAAGUUUAAGGAAGUUGACAAGCCCACAUUUGAGAUCCUGAACAUAUAGGUUUUACCUUGAUCACCGCUGAAUGUAGUAUGAGUCUGGCCAUUUAUGAGCACUCCAUCUGGAAGGGGAAGAGAUUUUCCUGAGUCUAAAGAUGCCUGUAAUGUCUUGUGAUUCGUCUUGUACCAAUCACCAAUAAGCAGAGUGAAAUCUCCAUCAGGGGUUGCAAAAGGGAUUGGAAUUCUAGGUCUCUCAUAUACAUUGAGUGCGCCAUACCCUCCAGCAGCUCUGUGAAGUAGAGUUGAAGGGAAGUAUGUGAAGGUACCAAUCUGAUCCUUGGUCUGGAACUUGUAAGUGUAGUUUGAGUUUGGAGGGAUGGGGCAAUUGGUUCCCAGCACUCCAUCUUGCCAAGA
RNAcentral lists this unclassified non-coding RNA (683 nucleotides) under Hevea brasiliensis (rubber tree). Lineage: Eukaryota; Viridiplantae; Streptophyta; Magnoliopsida; Malpighiales; Euphorbiaceae. The record is from RNAcentral.